AGGUCUAAAAUAUUGAGCUCAACAGCUAUUUUAAGAGCCAACCCUCACAAACCUUCCUAAAAACUAAAAGAGCUAUUACUGAGUCUCAGCGAAUCUUGUCAUGAUCAGCUCUUCCCAGAAGAGAAGGAAGACCAAGGAAAUUAUUUGCUCAGGAUGAGAAAUGAAGAUGGCCAUCUUGUGCUCAAACAAACAGAAGUCCUCUGAUGAUCUCAUUAGCCAAAUGAGGGGUUUUGACCAAGUGAUGCUCUUGAAAGGAGUGAAAGAAGAGGAUGUGGUAAAUUGUCUUCAGAGAAAAAGCUUCUCAAAAGGUCUCAAAACAGCUUGAAGAAUGGUAAGUGUACAGUACUACAAGGGUAAAAUCACACAGAACAUAAGAUGAGCUCUCUGUC
Carassius gibelio (silver crucian carp) is the source of this 389-nucleotide long non-coding RNA. RefSeq lists it as uncharacterized. The transcript has 3 exons. NCBI's taxonomy places the organism in Eukaryota, Metazoa, Chordata, Actinopteri, Cypriniformes, Cyprinidae. The record is from RefSeq and is a predicted model, not a curated record.